This 73-nucleotide transfer RNA is filed under the name Camelus bactrianus (Bactrian camel). It matches the Rfam family "tRNA". Rfam says of the family: Transfer RNA (tRNA) molecules are approximately 80 nucleotides in length. Their secondary structure includes four short double-helical elements and three loops (D, anti-codon, and T loops). RNAcentral also lists the same sequence under 2 other names. Lineage: Eukaryota; Metazoa; Chordata; Mammalia; Artiodactyla; Camelidae. The record is from Rfam by way of RNAcentral.
GAGCGUAUAGCUCAGUGGUAAGAGUGCCUGUUUAACAUGCACAAGGUCCUGGGUUCAAUCCUCAGUACUACCA